RNAcentral lists this ribosomal RNA (360 nucleotides) under uncultured bacterium. RNAcentral describes it as "partial 16S ribosomal RNA". It matches the Rfam family "Bacterial small subunit ribosomal RNA", at positions 338 to 694 of the family's 1533-position model. The record is from RNAcentral.
CCUACGGGCGGCAGCAGUGAGGAAUAUUGGUCAAUGGGCGGAAGCCUGAACCAGCCAAGUCGCGUGAGGGAAUAAGGCCCUACGGGUCGUAAACCUCUUUUGCCGGGGAGCAAGGGCGGGGACGUGUCCCGGCCCGGAGAGUACCCGGAGAAAAAGCAUCGGCUAACUCCGUGCCAGCAGCCGCGGUAAUGCGGAGGAUGCGAGCGUUAUCCGGAUUUAUUGGGUUUAAGGGGCGCGUAGGCGGGUUUUUAAGUCAGCGGUAAAAGUUUGGGGCUUAACCGUGACAGGGCGUUUAAACUGGGCAGCAGUGAGUACAGAUGAGGUAGGCGGAAGUCGGGGGGUAGCGGGGAAAUGCUGAGA